GCCCUCGUAGCUCAAUGGUAGAGCGCGUCACUAGUAAUGACGAGGUUGCCGGGUAUGUCAUUAUAGCAAGUCGAAAGAAGGUCGUCACUAAUUGCGAGUUAUAGUUCGAUUCCGUCCGAGGGCA
RNAcentral lists this transfer RNA (124 nucleotides) under Drepanopeziza brunnea f. sp. 'multigermtubi' MB_m1. Its description in RNAcentral is "Marssonina brunnea f. sp. 'multigermtubi' MB_m1 tRNA". It matches the Rfam family "tRNA". Rfam says of the family: Transfer RNA (tRNA) molecules are approximately 80 nucleotides in length. The record is from Rfam by way of RNAcentral. Lineage: Eukaryota; Fungi; Ascomycota; Leotiomycetes; Helotiales; Drepanopezizaceae.